AUGGGGAGGCAGCCGUGCUGCGACAAGGUGGGGCUGAAGAAAGGCCCGUGGACGGCGGAGGAGGACCAGAAGCUCGUCAGCUUCCUCCUCAGCAACGGCCAAUGCUGCUGGAGAGCCGUCCCCAAGCUCGCCGGGUUGCUCCGGUGCGGGAAGAGCUGCCGGCUGCGGUGGACCAACUACCUCCGGCCGGACCUCAAGCGCGGGCUGCUCUCCGACGAGGAGGAGAAGACGGUGAUCGACCUGCACGAGCAGCUCGGAAACAGGUGGUCCAAGAUCGCCUCCCACCUGCCCGGCCGGACCGACAACGAGAUCAAGAACCAUUGGAACACGCACAUCAAGAAGAAGCUGAGGAAGAUGGGCAUCGACCCCGCCACCCACAAGCCCCUCCAGCCUGCUGCUGCUGCUACCCAUCAGCAGCCGCAGCGGCCUACCGGUGGUGACUCGCCGGAGCAGAAGGUGCCGGCGGCGGCGGCCACGGGAAGUCAGUCGGGUGCCGAAGAGGACAUGUUCUGCCCCGACGAGGUGCCGACCAUGAUGCAACUUCUGGACAACAUCAUCUUGCCAUGCGACGUCGUCGAACCGGCGCCGCUCGACAGCAGCUGCGGCACGGCCUCGUCACCAGCCGAGUCGUCCUCGUCCUCGUCGUCCGCCUCGGCGGCGUCGAGCGGCGGCGGCUUCGAGGACGACUGGCUGCCGAAGAUCAUGGAGUGGCCGGUGGAGCCGAUGUUCAUGAUGGGGCUGGACGUCGACGUGGUCACCGGGCCGACGUCGGCAUGGGAGUUCGAGGACGCCUUCAACGCGUACCAGAGGAUCUCCCUGUUCGAUCACCAGGAGACAUGGGCUUGA
RNAcentral lists this ribosomal RNA (846 nucleotides) under Triticum aestivum (bread wheat). RNAcentral's name for it is "partial small subunit ribosomal RNA". Lineage: Eukaryota; Viridiplantae; Streptophyta; Magnoliopsida; Poales; Poaceae. The record is from RNAcentral.